RNAcentral lists this transfer RNA (64 nucleotides) under Dinophilus gyrociliatus. RNAcentral's name for it is "tRNA-Trp". Lineage: Eukaryota; Metazoa; Annelida; Polychaeta; Dinophilidae. The record is from RNAcentral.
AAGAUCUUAAGUUAAUAAAACUAAUAGCCUUCAAAGCUUUAAUUGGACUUCAAUCCAGAUCUUG